This 1002-nucleotide long non-coding RNA is filed under the name Marmota monax (woodchuck). Lineage: Eukaryota; Metazoa; Chordata; Mammalia; Rodentia; Sciuridae. The record is from RNAcentral.
GUAGUGUUAGCAUUUAUUUUAUCACCCCCAAAGUGUGUGGAAUGAAUGGGAUUUGGGGUUAGGAUUCAGAGGAUUUGGAGCCUCCAUCCCUGGAAUGUAUUAGACUACAUAUUUAAAAACAAGAAUAAUGUCUAAUUUAUAGGGAUGCCAUAUGAAAGAAUGUGGGGGAAGGAACAAAAAGGAUAGGAAAGAGAGAAGUUUCCUUGCAAAUCUUCCUUAAUAGGUUUUUGAUAACAAUAAAAAUAAAGCACUAUUCUAAGAAAAUAUAAACAGAAGCUUUUCCAUUGUAACUGAAAGCUUUAGUACUUGAUUUGAUUUUCUGGGCAAGUUGAGCAGUAGCCACAAACUAACCCACACCACUAUCUCUAUUUGUUCUUCUGAGAUCCCUAUAAACAAAGUUACCUGUUACAUCUUGCAUAGGAUAUGCUUUCUGAAUUCCUCUUGGCUAAUUUUGGCCAGGUACAAUGUUUCUGGAGAUAGUUGUAUUGAUUUACGAAACUUGAGUUUGGAAUUGUUGGAGGGUAAUAUGAGUUAUCCUGCUUAUUUAAGAUUUGAUUGAGAAAAAUGUAGGUAUUUUCAAGACAUCCAGUGAAUUAAAACCUGUGUUUUAGAACUAGAAAAAAUUCUAUAAAAGAAAAAAAAAAACUACAGCAUCAUAACUACUCUUUUCAGGUGGGAAUAAAUUUAUUGUUCUCUUCCUCUUACCAAAGAGAUGUUACAUCUGUGUUUUCAUCAAACCUCACAUUAUUUAAAUAGCAUGUGUUCAUCUUUAUGGUGGAUUAUAAGAAUAAUUGCUUGAGUGAAAAUGGAAUUUGACAAUAGAGUGUAGACUACUUUCAAGCUGUGACAGUGUUCCACUGUGGCAGGUUUGCAAUUGGAGGAAGUGCAGUCCACCUAUCAAAAUGUGAGGUAUUCCACAAGGCAGUGUGGCAUUUGAAUCUUGUCUAGUUAAAUGGAAGUGUGAUGUUAUGCAGUACUGGAAAGGAAAUGCUAAAUCAAAUU